This 503-nucleotide ribosomal RNA is filed under the name uncultured bacterium. RNAcentral describes it as "partial 16S ribosomal RNA". It matches the Rfam family "Bacterial small subunit ribosomal RNA", at positions 30 to 523 of the family's 1533-position model. The record is from RNAcentral.
AUUGAACGCUGGCGGCAGGCUUAACACAUGCAAGUCGAGCGGAGUGAUGGUGCUUGCACUAUCACUUAGCGGCGGACGGGUGAGUAAUGCUUAGGAAUCUGCCUAUUAGUGGGGGACAACAUCUCGAAAGGGAUGCUAAUACCGCAUACGUCCUACGGGAGAAAGCAGGGGAUCACUUGUGACCUUGCGCUAAUAGAUGAGCCUAAGUCGGAUUAGCUAGUUGGUGGGGUAAAGGCCUACCAAGGCGACGAUCUGUAGCGGGUCUGAGAGGAUGAUCCGCCACACUGGGACUGAGACACGGCCCAGACGCCUACGGGAGGCAGCAGUGGGGAAUAUUGGACAAUGGGGGGAACCCUGAUCCAGCCGUGCCGCGUGUGUGAAGGAGGCCUUAUGGUUGUAAAGCACUUUAAGCGAGGAGGAGGCUCUUUUGGUUAAUACCCAAGAUGAGUGGACGUUACUCGCAGAAUAAGCACCGGCUAACUCUGUGCCAGCCGCCGCCGUAA